Molecule: ribosomal RNA, 253 nt
Filed under: uncultured prokaryote
Description: partial 16S ribosomal RNA
Rfam family: Bacterial small subunit ribosomal RNA
Source: RNAcentral
GACGAACCGUGCAAACGUUGUUCGGAAUCACUGGGCUUAAAGGGCGCGUAGGCGGGCAUUCAAGUCAGGGGUGAAAUCUUUCGGCUCAACCGGAAAAUUGCCUUUGAUACUGACUGUCUCGAGGGAGGUAGGGGCAUGUGGAACUUCCGGUGGAGCGGUGAAAUGCGUUGAUAUCGGAAGGAACGCCGGUGGCGAAAGCGACGUGCUGGACCUCUUCUGACGCUGAGGCGCGAAAGCUAGGGGAGCAAACGGG